RNAcentral lists this ribosomal RNA (741 nucleotides) under uncultured bacterium. RNAcentral's name for it is "bacterial SSU rRNA". It matches the Rfam family "Bacterial small subunit ribosomal RNA", at positions 104 to 832 of the family's 1533-position model. The record is from RNAcentral.
GGGUGAGUAAUACAUAGGUAACCUGCCCCUGUGCGGGGGAUAACAGGAGGAAACUCCUGCUAAUACCGCAUAGCCAUGAGCACCGCAUGGAGCUCAUGCCAAAUAUCCUUUCGGGGAUAGCGCAGGGAUGGACCUAUGGCGCAUUAGCUUGUUGGCGGGGCAACGGCCCACCAAGGCAACGAUGCGUAGCCGGCCUGAGAGGGCGGACGGCCACAUUGGGACUGAGACACGGCCCAGACUCCUACGGGAGGCAGCAGUAGGGAAUUUUCGGCAAUGGGGGAAACCCUGACCGAGCAACGCCGCGUGAGCGAAGAAGGCCUUCGGGUCGUAAAGCUCUGUUGUAAAGGAAGAACGGCGCAUACAGGAAAUGGUAUGCGAGUGACGGUACUUUACCAGAAAGCCACGGCUAACUACGUGCCAGCAGCCGCGGUAAUACGUAGGUGGCGAGCGUUAUCCGGAAUCAUUGGGCGUAAAGAGGGAGCAGGCGGCCGCAAGGGUCUGUGGUGAAAGACCGAAGCUAAACUUCGGUAAGCCAUGGAAACCGGGCGGCUAGAGUGCGGAAGAGGAUCGUGGAAUUCCAUGUGUAGCGGUGAAAUGCGUAGAUAUAUGGAGGAACACCAGUGGCGAAGGCGACGGUCUGGGCCGCAACUGACGCUCAUUCCCGAAAGCGUGGGGAGCAAAUAGGAUUAGAUACCCUAGUAGUCCACGCCGUAAACGAUGGUCACUAAGUGUCGGGGGUCA